UACUCUGAAGUGGUUGCAGCUACCCCACUAUUUGAAGUUCCUCCUCAACCUAUGCGUACCUUCAUAAUCAUAUCACCCCCUUCAGAGUGCGAUAAUAGUGCAAACUAGUUGUGUGGCAGCGUCGCCUGGCUAAGUACGUGGUGUACGAACACUCCACGUAAACACAGACGGAAUAUCAAUUUUCGUCUUUGUGGGUUGAGAUAUCGUGUUAUCUUAAGGUAAUAUAUCAACUACAGAUAUUAUUUAACUUCUAAUUAUGUGAGAGUAUCAUUACGGACUAUACUGUGAACUGAACAAAAGUGGAGAAAAACCGCCAAUCGCAAGGUAAUAGUGCCUUAAGGAACUCAGAAAAUCAUCAGAAAAACUGUCAAAAUGGCCAUACUGUCUUCAGGCCAAACUGAAACGGGCUUCAAGAUGUGGGUGAACUGUUAAGGUGGGAGGAACUGUGUACGCCUAGGUACAAUGAAGAUCUCUGUGCUUCAGAACGGAUGCUGGAGGAAUCAGAAAACACAGCAAGCCGCCUUCAGACCAUUUCAGGCCGAUCUUCAGAAACAGCAAACACUACAUUUUACAGCAUGCUGGUUUUUACGGUGAGAAGCUUUUCGUCUCUCUCCAACUCCAAGAUGGAGAAUCAUCCCUUGUCGGCUGUCUGCGAAUGCUUAUUCAAAAUAUUUGCAAAUACCUUCCAGAUCUCAAAGCCGUCUCUGUCCGCAACCUCAAGACGCACCAAGGGACGCGCUUAACACGUUAAGCGUAGGCUGGAUUCGUCUAGCUCAAGACAGAGACCCGUGGUGGCUUCUCAUGAACACUGUAAUGGACAUUCGGGUUCCAUAAAAGACGGGGGAUUUCUUGUGUAACCGAAUGCCUAUUAGUUUCUCAAGAUGGACCCUGAACAAAGUUUUCAAGGGUUGAGUGGGUGCCUCUGCGAUGUAGCAGCUUGAACCAGUACGCCAUUCGUAACAGCAAGCUCUAAAGUGAAUUUGAAGAUAAAAUCAAUAUAUGAAAUAUUUCUUAGUGUACGACGCAUACAUACAUAUAUAUGAACUUUGUAAUUAAUAACUUAGGCUACUUCAAGGGCAAAAUACUGUACAGGGACAGAAAAAACAAAGAAUUUAAUCGCCUUACUGUGCUCGUAGUCUCAUUUACUACAUGGCUUCUUACGCAACGACCAGAAAGAGAGGAUGAACUGGGUUUAAUGCAGAAGUAGUAUAAUAAAUUAUUUCACGAAGGCACUUUGUCUGAAGUUUUUUAUAUUGUUAAAUAAAACAUAGAAAAGAGAAGAAAUAAAUCUGUUUACUAGGCUUGCCUAAAAACGUUAAUUCUGUUUCUCCUUCUGUCAAGAACAGCUACGCAACCUGUAGUUGCACAGAUCAGGAAAUAAUUCUGAUAUUUCGUACCUGUAGACACCCAGUCGACUCCCCUA
Non-coding RNA from Zootermopsis nevadensis, 1423 nucleotides. Lineage: Eukaryota; Metazoa; Arthropoda; Insecta; Blattodea; Termopsidae. The record is from RefSeq and is a predicted model, not a curated record.